Molecule: ribosomal RNA, 1435 nt
Filed under: uncultured organism
Description: 16S ribosomal RNA
Rfam family: Bacterial small subunit ribosomal RNA
Source: RNAcentral
CAGGCUUAGCACAUGCAAGUCGAGGGGCAGCAUUUUAGUUUGCUUGCAAACUGAAGAUGGCGACCGGCGCACGGGUGAGUAACACGUAUCCAACCUGCCGAUAACUCCGGAAUAGCCUUUCGAAAGAAAGAUUAAUACCGGAUAGCAUACGAAUAUCGCAUGAUAUUUUUAUUAAAGAAUUUCGGUUAUCGAUGGGGAUGCGUUCCAUUAGUUUGUUGGCGGGGUAACGGCCCACCAAGACAACGAUGGAUAGGGGUUCUGAGAGGAAGGUCCCCCACAUUGGAACUGAGACACGGUCCAAACUCCUACGGGAGGCAGCAGUGAGGAAUAUUGGUCAAUGGGCGAGAGCCUGAACCAGCCAAGUAGCGUGAAGGAUGAAGGCUCUAUGGGUCGUAAACUUCUUUUAUAUGGGAAUAAAGUUUUCCACGUGUGGAAUUUUGUAUGUACCAUAUGAAUAAGGAUCGGCUAACUCCGUGCCAGCAGCCGCGGUAAUACGGAGGAUCCGAGCGUUAUCCGGAUUUAUUGGGUUUAAAGGGAGCGUAGGUGGAUUGUUAAGUCAGUUGUGAAAGUUUGCGGCUCAACCGUAAAAUUGCAGUUGAAACUGGCAGUCUUGAGUACAGUAGAGGUGGGCGGAAUUCGUGGUGUAGCGGUGAAAUGCUUAGAUAUCACGAAGAACUCCGAUUGCGAAGGCAGCUCACUAGACUGUCACUGACACUGAUGCUCGAAAAUGUGGGUAUCAAACAGGAUUAGAUACCCUGGUAGUCCACACAGUAAACGAUGAAUACUCGCUGUUUGCGAUAUACAGUAAGCGGCCAAGCGAAAGCAUUAAGUAUUCCACCUGGGGAGUACGCCGGCAACGGUGAAACUCAAAGGAAUUGACGGGGGCCCGCACAAGCGGAGGAACAUGUGGUUUAAUUCGAUGAUACGCGAGGAACCUUACCCGGGCUUAAAUUGCAACAGAAUAUAUUGGAAACAGUAUAGCCGUAAGGCUGUUGUGAAGGUGCUGCAUGGUUGUCGUCAGCUCGUGCCGUGAGGUGUCGGCUUAAGUGCCAUAACGAGCGCAACCCUUAUCUUUAGUUACUAACAGGUGAUGCUGAGGACUCUAGAGAGACUGCCGUCGUAAGAUGUGAGGAAGGUGGGGAUGACGUCAAAUCAGCACGGCCCUUACGUCCGGGGCUACACACGUGUUACAAUGGGGGGUACAGAAGGCGGCUACCUGGUGACAGGAUGCUAAUCCCAAAAACCUCUCUCAGUUCGGAUCGAAGUCUGCAACCCGACUUCGUGAAGCUGGAUUCGCUAGUAAUCGCGCAUCAGCCAUGGCGCGGUGAAUACGUUCCCGGGCCUUGUACACACCGCCCGUCAAGCCAUGAAAGCCGGGGGUACCUGAAGUACGUAACCGCAAGGAGCGUCCUAGGGUAAAACUGGUAAUUGGGGC